AAACUAGGAUUAGAUACCCUAUUAUUAGUGACUUACCUUGUAAGUAAUAAAGAUUAUGAAAGCAAAAAAUUAUGGCGGUAUUUUAAGCUUUUCAGAGGAAUUUGCUCUUUAAUGGAUAAAACACCUAAAUCUUACUUAAAUUUGUUAAUUCAAUUUGUAUACCACUAUAAAAACAAUUUAUAACUUUAAUUGUUGAUAUUUAUUAAAUUAAAAUAUAUUAAGUCAAGGUGCAGUAAAAAUUUAAGGAUGAAGUGAAUUACAUUACUUUUUAGAGAAAUAAAUUUAAAAUAAUAUUUAGGAUUUGAAAGUAAAAUUAAAAUAUAAUGUUAAUUUGAAUUAAGCUCUAAAAUAUGUACACAUCGCCCGUCGCUCUCAUU
Molecule: ribosomal RNA, 377 nt
Filed under: Rhipicephalus turanicus
Lineage: Eukaryota; Metazoa; Arthropoda; Arachnida; Ixodida; Ixodidae
Description: partial 12S ribosomal RNA
Source: RNAcentral